This 458-nucleotide ribosomal RNA is filed under the name uncultured bacterium. RNAcentral's name for it is "partial 16S ribosomal RNA". It matches the Rfam family "Bacterial small subunit ribosomal RNA", at positions 338 to 795 of the family's 1533-position model. The record is from RNAcentral.
CCUACGGGUGGCAGCAGUGAGGAAUAUUGGUCAAUGGGCGAGAGCCUGAACCAGCCAAGUCGCGUGAGGGAGUAAUGCCCUAUGGGUUGUAAACCUCUUUUGUCGGGGAGCAAAAGCCGGACGUGUCCGGCUGUGAGAGUACCCGAAGAAAAAGCAUCGGCUAACUCCGUGCCAGCAGCAGCGGUAAUACGGAGGAUGCGGGCGUUAGCCGGAUUUGUUGGGGUAAAAGGGUGCGCAGGCGGAUGUUUAAUUUAGCGGUAAAAUCGUGGGGCUCAACCCCAUCCAGCCGUUGAAACUGGGGAUCUAGAGUGUGCGAGAGGUAUGUGGAAUGCGUGGUGUAGCGGUGAAAUGCAUAGAUAUCACGCAGAACCCCGAUUGCGAAGGCAGCAUACCGGUGCACAACUGACGCUCAGGCACGAAAGCGUGGGUAUCGAACAGGAUUAGAUACCCGGGUAGUC